RNAcentral lists this ribosomal RNA (543 nucleotides) under uncultured Gammaproteobacteria bacterium. RNAcentral's name for it is "bacterial SSU rRNA". It matches the Rfam family "Bacterial small subunit ribosomal RNA", at positions 32 to 578 of the family's 1533-position model. Lineage: Bacteria; Pseudomonadati; Pseudomonadota; Gammaproteobacteria. The record is from RNAcentral.
UACCUGGCGGCAGGCUACACCUGCAGUUAACGGUACAGGAUAGCUUGCUAUCGCUGACGAGUGGCGGACGGGUGAGUAAUACUUAGGGAUCUGCCUCUGUGUGGGGGAUAACUAUUGGAAACGAUAGCUAAUACCGCAUAAUGUCUACGGACCAAAGCGGGCUUCGGCUCGUGCGCAGAGAGGAACCUAAGCGAGAUUAGCUAGUUGGUGAGGUAAAGGCUCACCAAUGGCGACGAUCUCUAGCUGUUCUGAGAGGAAGAUCAGCCACACUGGAACUGAGACACGGUCCAGACUCCUACGGGAGGCAGCAGUGGGGAAUAUUGCACAAUGGGGGAAACCCUGAUGCAGCCAUGCCGCGUGUGUGAAGAAGGCCUUCGGGUUGUAAAGCACUUUCAGUUGUGAGGAAAGUUUAGUAGUUAAUACCUGCUAGAUGUGACGUUAGCAACAGAAGAAGCACCGGCUAACUCCGUGCCAGCAGCCGCAGGUAAUACGGAGGGUGCGAGCGUUAAUCGGAAUUGCUGGGCGUAAAGCGCACGCAGGCGG